AGCGCCCCUUCUUUCAAAGAGAGAGGACGGGUUAUUCACAUUUCAUUUGAUGGUCAGAGGCGAAUUGAAAGUUAAGCAGUGGGAACUCUAAAGAUUCCCCGGGGGAAAAAUAGAGAUGUCUCCUACGUUACCCAUAAUAUGUGAAGUAUCGACGUAAUUUCAUAGUCAUUCGGUCUGAAUGCUACAUGAAGAACAUAAGCCAGAUGACGGAACGGGAAGACC
This 222-nucleotide long non-coding RNA is filed under the name Nicotiana benthamiana. Its description in RNAcentral is "long non-coding RNA (NBEN_LNC017581)". The record is from RNAcentral. Lineage: Eukaryota; Viridiplantae; Streptophyta; Magnoliopsida; Solanales; Solanaceae.